GUGUUGUAAGUGUUUAAGGGCGCAUGGUGGAUGCCUUGGCACUGGGAGCCGAUGAAGGACGUGGGAGGCUGCGAUAUGCCUCGGGGAGCUGUCA
Molecule: ribosomal RNA, 94 nt
Filed under: Mycobacterium sp. ITM-2017-0098
Lineage: Bacteria; Bacillati; Actinomycetota; Actinomycetes; Mycobacteriales; Mycobacteriaceae
Description: partial 23S ribosomal RNA
Rfam family: Bacterial large subunit ribosomal RNA
Source: RNAcentral